AACGCUAGCUACAGGCUUAACACAUGCAAGUCGAGGGGAAACGACAUCGAAAGCUUGCUUUUGAUGGGCGUCGACCGGCGCACGGGUGAGUAACGCGUAUCCAACCUGCCCACCACUUGGGGAUAACCUUGCGAAAGUAAGACUAAUACCCAAUGACGUCUCUAGAAGACAUCUGAAAGAGAUUAAAGAUUUAUCGGUGAUGGAUGGGGAUGCGUCUGAUUAGCUUGUUGGCGGGGUAACGGCCCACCAAGGCAACGAUCAGUAGGGGUUCUGAGAGGAAGGUCCCCCACAUUGGAACUGAGACGCGGUCCAAACUCCUACGGGAGGCAGCAGUGAGGAAUAUUGGUCAAUGGGCGCAAGCCUGAACCAGCCAAGUAGCGUGCAGGAUGACGGCCCUAUGGGUUGUAAACUGCUUUUAUACAGGAAUAAAGUUAGCCACGUGUGGUUAUUUGUAGGUACUGUAUGAAUAAGGACCGGCUAAUUCCGUGCCAGCAGCCGCGGUAAUACGGAAGGUCCAGGCGUUAUCCGGAUUUAUUGGGUUUAAAGGGAGCGUAGGCCGUCUGUUAAGCGUGUUGUGAAAUGUAGAUGCUCAACAUCUGAAUUGCAGCGCGAACUGGCAGACUUGAGUGUGCGCAACGUAGGCGGAAUUCGUGGUGUAGCGGUGAAAUGCUUAGAUAUCACGAAGAACUCCGAUUG
This 696-nucleotide ribosomal RNA is filed under the name uncultured bacterium. Its description in RNAcentral is "bacterial SSU rRNA". It matches the Rfam family "Bacterial small subunit ribosomal RNA", at positions 32 to 715 of the family's 1533-position model. The record is from RNAcentral.